This 357-nucleotide ribosomal RNA is filed under the name uncultured Glomeromycotina. Its description in RNAcentral is "SSU rRNA". It matches the Rfam family "Eukaryotic small subunit ribosomal RNA", at positions 569 to 930 of the family's 1831-position model. The record is from RNAcentral. Lineage: Eukaryota; Fungi; Glomeromycota.
AGCAGCCGCGGUAAAUUCCAGCUCCAAUAGCGUAUAUUAAAGUUGUUGCAGUUAAAAAGCUCGUAGUUGAAUUUCGGGAUCAAUACGUCGGUCAUGCCUCUGGUAUGUACUGGUGUUAUUGGUUUCUCCUUUCUGAGGAGCCAUGAUGUCAUUAAUUUGGUGUCGUGGGGAAUCAGGACUGUUACUUUGAAAAAUUAGAGUGUUUAAAGCAGGCACGCGCUUGAAUACAUUAGCAUGGAAUAAUGAAAUAGGACGUUCGAUUCUAUUUUGUUGGUUUCUAGGAUCAACGUAAUGAUUAAUAGGGAUAGUUGGGGGCAUUAGUAUUCAAUUGUCAGAGGUGAAAUUCUUGGAUUUAUU